Non-coding RNA from Trichomonas vaginalis G3, 934 nucleotides. The record is from Rfam. Lineage: Eukaryota; Parabasalia; Trichomonadida; Trichomonadidae.
CUCGUCACUUAAUUAGUGACCUGCAUGAACGGAGCUAUGAGGUUCUCACUGUCCCAAACUGUCUCUCAGCGAACCAACUGUAGUGGGAACGGUCACUAGAUAUCCAGCGGGGAAAGAAGACCCUGUAGAGCUUCACUUUGGUCUAGUCUUGUAUAGUUCCUGCGGGGGUGUAGACUAGGUGGGAGAGCAAUCGAUUCUGAAAAACCACUACCCUGUUUGGAAUUAUGCUUACCUAUCACAAGGAAUAGGACUAGAUAGAAAGUUUGGCUGGGGCGGCACACCUUCGAAAGAGCAGCGAAGGUGUCCUAAGUUGAGCUCAGUGAGGACAGAAAUCUCACGUUGAGGAUAAGGCCAAAAGCUCAAUUUACUGUGCCUUUUUGUACUAGGAUCAGUUACGAAAGUAAGGCCUAACGAUCCCUAAAUAGCCUCAGGUGCGUGAGGAUUGGGGUGACAGACAAGUUACCUCCGGGACAACUGGCUUGUGGCUGCUAAGAGAUCAAAUCAACGCAGCUUUUUGAUUCUUCGAUGUCGGCUCUUCCUAUCCUAGUGAUGUACAAGUUGCUAAGGGUCGGAUUGUUCACCCGUAUUAGGGAUCGUGAGCUGGGUUUAGACCGUCGUGAGCCAGGUUUGUUUUAUCCUACUGGAUAUAGCAUCAUGAUAGUAGAUUGAUUUAGUACGAGAGGAACUGUUGAUUAUGGCCUCUGGUUAGCGAUUAUAGGAAACGGUAUGUCGCGCAGCUACGCCGUCUGGGAUAAUGGCUGAAAGCCUCUUAAGCCAGAAGCCCAUCUAGAAAGUGAUGCACGUGAUGUUGGACCGAUACGAAUAAUCAUACUCAAAAGGUCCGCUUCAUAGGUAACCCAAUGUAGAAGACAUUGUGUGAACGAAGGUACUGUAAGCAGUGGAGUGGCAUUACGUCCACGACCUGUGAGGUCAG